Molecule: long non-coding RNA, 492 nt
Organism: Rosa chinensis
Lineage: Eukaryota; Viridiplantae; Streptophyta; Magnoliopsida; Rosales; Rosaceae
Exons: 3
Source: RefSeq, a predicted model, not a curated record
GCUACAGAUUGUUAAGGCCCUGGAAAUUGACGUUGCGAUGGCAAAGAAAAUGUGGGGUGAUAUGAUAUGCUCCUGUGGAGGAAGGAAUUUGCAAUUGGUGCUGGCACUAGUAUGGGGCACACUAGACUUGAUGUUUUGUUGGUCUGAAGCAGAGCUGAGAAUUUUAUGAAACUUGAUGGUCCCAAUAUAUAUGGCUCAAGACAGGAGGAAUUUAUAUGUCUGAGCAUGAUUGAAAGGUUGGAAAACAUGUGUUUGAACUCGUGAAGCUAAAGUUCACACAGACCGACCAAAUCUCAUUAUCUUGGAAUAUUAAUAGGGGGAAUGAAGACUCCAAUCUUCUAUCUGAACCUCACAGAAUGACUGGUUUCCAGAUGGAUAGUCAUCCUUUAAUUUACGAAAGCAGAAUUUGACUGAGCACCUUAAACGCGCGCUUUGAGAUAAUCCCAUCGCAGUCACUGCUGCAUCUCUGGUUUUCCUGAUACGGAAGUUGUG